UUCGGACUGCAGGCUGCAACUCGCCUGCAUGAAGCCGGAGUUGCUAGUAAUCGCGGAUCAGAAUGCCGCGGUGAAUGCGUUCCCGGGUCUUGUACACACCGCCCGUCACACCAUGGAAGUUGGGGGUGCCCAAAGCCGGCAGGGAAAUAUGCUGUCUAAGGCAAAACCAAUGACUGGGGUGAAGUCGUAACAAGGUAGC
This 199-nucleotide ribosomal RNA is filed under the name uncultured bacterium. RNAcentral's name for it is "partial 16S ribosomal RNA". It matches the Rfam family "Bacterial small subunit ribosomal RNA", at positions 1292 to 1500 of the family's 1533-position model. The record is from RNAcentral.